CGAUCUGAUGGCGACCGGCGUACGGGUGAGUAACGCGUAUCCAACCUGCCCUUUACUAUGGGACAACCCGUCGAAAGGCGGAUUAAUACCGUAUGUUGUCAUGUUGAUGCAUAUUUUCAUGACCAAAGGCUUCGGCCGGUAAAGGAUGGGGAUGCGUCUGAUUAGCUUGCCGGCGGGGUAACGGCCCACCGGGGCGACGAUCAGUAGGGGUUCUGAGAGGAAGGUCCCCCACAUUGGAACUGAGACACGGUCCAAACUCCUACGGAAGGCAGCAG
Molecule: ribosomal RNA, 275 nt
Filed under: uncultured bacterium
Lineage: Bacteria
Description: partial 16S ribosomal RNA
Rfam family: Bacterial small subunit ribosomal RNA
Source: RNAcentral